Long non-coding RNA from Sycon ciliatum, 485 nucleotides. RefSeq lists it as uncharacterized. The transcript is spliced from 3 exons. The record is from RefSeq and is a predicted model, not a curated record. Lineage: Eukaryota; Metazoa; Porifera; Calcarea; Leucosolenida; Sycettidae.
CCACUAAUCCCGAUAUAACAGAUUCUUGACUGAUUUUUGCCGCGAAAGCGAAAAAAUGUUCUCAAAUUUGAGAACUGUCCUAAAUUGGUUCUGAGAGAUGGAAGCCGUUUUACAUGGCCUACGUCGUUUUACUUUGCACCACCUCGUUUUAUUUCACACCAUGUAUUCUUGACGGGACGCUCUUUCGGCAGAUAUAUUUUUAGUGAAGUUUCGUAGAGGAGACGUAUAUCGAAAAUGUUGUGAACGAAGCUGAAAUUGGCAUUUUUAUGCACCUAAUUUCAAGCCGAAUUAUCACCAGAGCAUGCAGCGUUUUCGGCCAGCACGAAGGCGGCAACAUAUAGAGGGUUGCUGCACUGUAUAAUUGUAAUCAUCGCUGACUGGCUGUUGGCAGAGUAUUUGAUGCGUGCACGUGUAUGGAUCCGUUCCUUCCUCAUGUUAACGUCUCAAUCAAGCAUCGUCAUCAAAACUUUGCGUAGAAGAGUGUU